GCUGGGCGCAGUGGUGCACGCCUAUAAUCCCAGAGGUUAGGGAGGCUGAGGCAGGAGGAUCACAAGUUAAAAGCCAGCCUCAGCAAAAGUGAGACCCUAAGCAACUCAGUGAGACCCUGUUUCUA
RNAcentral lists this small RNA (125 nucleotides) under Marmota monax (woodchuck). Lineage: Eukaryota; Metazoa; Chordata; Mammalia; Rodentia; Sciuridae. The record is from RNAcentral.